ACAACUCGGAUACUCCCAAGCGAUCGCUCUCCCGGGCUCUGUGCUGGUGGCAAAGGGGAGCACAGGGCUCAGCGCCUCAUGAUGUACAGUCCUUUUCCACUAUGUUGGAGAUCAAGCCGGGCCUUGAGUCUGCGCCUGCACAUUUCUACAGCUUCUCAGAGUCCCAUGGACAAUGACUGACCGAGGAGACAAAUCAUGCAGGGAACAUGU
Molecule: small nucleolar RNA, 210 nt
Organism: Echinops telfairi (small Madagascar hedgehog)
Lineage: Eukaryota; Metazoa; Chordata; Mammalia; Afrosoricida; Tenrecidae
Gene: SNORA73
Rfam family: Small nucleolar RNA SNORA73 family
About the family: U17 (SNORA73A and SNORA73B) also known as E1 belongs to the H/ACA class of small nucleolar RNAs (snoRNAs). Vertebrate U17 is intron-encoded and ranges in length from 200-230 nucleotides, longer than most snoRNAs.
Source: Ensembl